This 4887-nucleotide unclassified non-coding RNA is filed under the name Limulus polyphemus (Atlantic horseshoe crab). RNAcentral's name for it is "uncharacterized LOC106471718, transcript variant X1". The record is from RNAcentral. Lineage: Eukaryota; Metazoa; Arthropoda; Merostomata; Xiphosura; Limulidae.
AAAGUAGAGUACUAGUCACGUGAUCGUUCGGCGCCAUCUUGGUGUAGUGCUUUUACACUACGUAGCUGAUUAUCCACCGGAAGGGAAAAAGAAACAUCAAGGAUCAACAUAUUUGUCAAUUAAUUGUGGAUUAAACGUUCCUUUAAACUGAUAUUUUAGGAAGGAUAUGGUAGUAGUUAUUGUAAGAGGUCAACAUGGGUGAUCAACUGAAAGAAAAAGUGGUACACCCUUUUAUUGAUUUUCAACCUGAUGACUGUUGGCAGGUUAAAGAUGAUGAAAGUAAUAUUUCUCAUGAAAAUACUAUAGACUUGGGAAAUUCUAAAAACAGCAACAUAAGCUUUACUAAACAAAAUACUACUGAUAAUUUGCCCUGUUCGUCAAUUAUUAAUGGGGUACUUCUUGAUGAAUCUGAUUCUAGUAGUAGUAAACUUAAUAAGAGCAACUAUCUUCCAGGUGUGGGUGAAUUAAAGCAGAAUAACGAAGACAAUUUAGAAUGUCGGGAGACUGGCCAAUCAAACAACUGUAGCACUUCACAAAAUACUAUGGAAGAUUUAAGAGUAGAGAGUGAACAGUUUUUGCAGAAACUGUCAGUUGUAGCCGAUGAAUUAAAGGAAUCUUCCUCUAAUUAUGAUGUUAAAAACUUGGCACCAAAUAAACAAUUGCAUGAUGAGGGGAAAAGUAUUUGUGUUGUAUCUGGAAGUGUAAAAAAUGACUUUGACAAUAAAACUGAAAAUGGUAAAUGUUGCAAAACUACAGAAAGCACAUCAAAAUCUAUCAAUUCUCAGAAACUUGGACAUAGCCAAGUUACUGAAGGUACUUACUGUAGUAGCAAUAAUUUAAAAAAUAGUAAUUUAUCAGAAAGUGAACCUUUGUUAAAGGCCAAAAAUGAUGAGUGCUUAACAAAAAAUUAUAAAAAUGAGUCACAACAAAGUCAAAAUGAAAAUAACAUUGAAAAGGAGCAGAGCUUUGCACAUGAAAUCACAGGCUGUGAUGCUAAUAUAAAAGUUGCUUCACUCCAAGAAGAUAAUCUCAAUAAUAAAGAAACUGGGAAGGUAGAAAAAAGUAUUGAUGAUUCAAGUGACUUAUUGACUAAAGAAAAUAACAGUGUUAAACAAAAAGUAAUGGUUACUGAGUGUGAGGAGAUCAAAGGCAAUGAAGAAGAAAAAAGGGAUGAUCACAAAGAUGACAAUAGAAAGAAUCUAGCAAGCAAAGACAAUGAAUCUUUAAAUAAAGAUUCAAGUAUCAUUGAAGAAGAUAAAUUGAAAACCAAUGUCAGUACUUGUACGAACCUUCAAAAUCACAGUGAUCAAAAUGGAACAACUGUAGAAAAAGAUCUUGAUAAACAAUCUGUAGAAAAGCACUUUAUUAAUGAGAAUAAAGAAGGCAAGAUUGAGAAAUUAAUCAAACCACCAAAAGGUUUAGUAGUAAAGCCUGUAGAAGUAAAAGAUAAAAUUUCACAAAAAUCUAGUCAUCAACAUAAAACUCAGUUACCACAAUAUACAAAUGCAAAAGCUGCUGGUAAAGUCCAAGAUAGGCCAAGUGAUAAACUUGAAGUUAGUAAUCGUCUUUCCACGAAGGGUCGAGUUAAUAAGAAAACCUUUGAUGGAACUAGUGCUCGUGAUAAACAAACAAAGAAAACAGGAAAAUGCAAUGACUCUUUAACAAAUAUACCUGACAUACUGAAAUCUGGGCUUCUGAAACACCUUACCAUUUCUGUUAUUCCAUCAAGUAAAAAUGAAGAAUCCCAAAAGUCAUUAAUGCAAAAGUCUAUCCCAGAAAAGCCUCGGGAUAAGCCAAGGGAAAAGCCAAAAGAAAAACCUCCAGAGCUUCACCAAGAAAAGUAUAAAGAGCAGCCUCUGCCUCCUCUGCUAGAAAGUAUAUGUGGUAGUGUAGUUACAGAUGAAAUGGUAGAGAAGAUUCUCAAAGAAGCAGAAUUUCCUGAAAUAUUUAAAGACAAAGUAAACAUUGGGAAAUUUAUUCCUGUAAAAUUACCUGAUAGCUACAACUUCAGACUGUGUGAAGAUGAAGCAUUAUUAGAAUGUCCAUCAAUGGUGACGCCUUUGCUGCUAAAAAAGAAAGAUAAGUUUCCAACUAAAGUUACACUUCACAGUGAAAGUAACUUUAGUGAAGUAGGAAAAAAUAGGGAUGGGUUGUCUGAAUCUAUUGACAACAGUACUUCUAAAGUUAAAUCUGAGAAAAAUGUGAAUGGACUAGAGAAGGAAUCUGCAGAAAAUAAUGACAAACUAGAAAACAUGGAAAAAAUAAAAGAAAAUACAAAAGACACGCAACAGGAAUCUAUAAAGACAGUAGUUAGUGGUGAAAAAUCAGAAUUAAAACCUAAAGAGUUGGAAGAAGCCUCAAAAGGUAAAGAACCUGAACAAAGCACAGAUAAUAAUGAUACUUCUAAAAUUAAAAAUGUGGGAGAAGAAACUGAGGAUAUAUCUACAAUAUCUAAAGAGAAAACAGAAGGUCAUACUGAAAAAUUGAAACAUGCAAAUGAUACGUCUGAAACAAGUAGUAAAGAGGAAGUACAUUACAAAACUAAUACUUCUUCAUUUGACAAAGAAAACACAGUAGGUAAAACUGAGAAAUUGUUAGAGGAUACAAAAGGAACACAAAAAUCUUUUAAGUUGUCAUCUGAUGAAGAAAAAGGAAGUGAUAAAACUGAGAAAAGUAAAAAAGAUACAAAUGAAACAAGAGAAUCAUCUUCAGAAAACAAUAAAAAAGUGCAAGAAGAAAGUAAAGAACUCUUCACUAGUAGUGCUGUUGGUUUUCUCACUGCCAUAGGUUUAAGUCGAGUUCAAGAGUGGCAUAAAAAAGAUUUAUUGAGGUCUAAAGAACGGCAAAUACGCAGAGAAGGAAAAACAAAACAAUUAGAAAAUGAAUCUCUGAUCAUGAAAAUGGCCUAUUUACAGGCUAAAAAGGCCAAUGAACCAUUUGUUUUUGGAAAUCAUAAGUGUGACAAAUGUGAGUUUAAAUCAGAAUCUUCCAUUGUGAUGGAUGGUCACUCUGCAGUACCCUUUGUGACACCACGUAGGGAAUUUGGGUGUCAUCUCUGUGACUUUUGCACAAGAGACCCAAAAGCAAUUCUUUUUCACAUGGAAGCUGAACAUAAAAAGUUGGGUCAGCUCCCAGCUCCUUCUCAUUUUCAUGAGUGCCCCUUUUGUCCAUUUGAUACAAAUCAGAAACAGAAGUUAAACAGUCAUAUGAAUAGAUGUCAGAAGUUUUUUGUUUUGGGUAGAAAUCAGGCCACAGAACUUGAAAUUUCAGCACAAACAGCAAAGCCUAUAACUCUGAUGGAUAUUAAGACAUACUUGUAUGAACGACAACUUGUAGAGAUGGCUUCAGCAACAAUGAGACGACCAGGUUGUCCAUCAGGUUCUAGAGGGGGUCACAGAAAGCAGUCUCCAAGACAGCAGGGUAAUGUUCCCAGAUCUCUUGCUCCUGUUGGAGUGUUACCAUACAAUCGACCAAUGUACCAACACCUAGCAGAUAAUGCAGUUCUACAGUCCAAAUCACAAAUUAGGGCUUUCAACAGAACCUCUGCUGGUUCUAGUAAUAACAAGACUACCAAUACACGUGUAACUUCAUCAUCUAGACAGGUUCCACUGACUGUUCCCACCAGUCAGAUUUAUAAAGUGGUUGAGGGUGGCAAGGUUCUUCCAAUGAUCACCACCACUAACUCAGCCAUUAGUUGCAAACCAGUCACCCAAGUAUCUAAUGCGCAUGAUUCAGGUCCUCAGCCAGUUGCCCUCUUUACAAAUGUAGCAGCAGGGGGUACUCAUAUGCCUACUAACAACACCAAAAGCCUGUUGAAGGCAGGUAUGCCACCACCACCUCGACUGCAAGGACCCUUUCUCCCCAGUACUGGAAAUUCAGCACCAGGAGAAACAAUACUACCCAGUAACAGUUUUGUGAUCUGUGAAAUUUGUGACGGUUAUAUCAAAGAUCAAGAACAAUUACGAAAUCACAUGCAGUUGAUUCACAAAGUGAAAAUCCAUCCAAAAAUGCUUCAGAACAGACCUCCUCUUAACUGCCAAAAGUGUCAGUGGCGGUUCUUUACAGACCAGGGGCUUGAGCGACAUUUGCUAGGGUCCCAUGGACUGGUGACUUCUAACAUGCAAGAGUUAGCACAGAAGAACCAGGACGCAGGUCGAUGUACUAUCUGUGGACUGGUGUAUGCGUGUAAAUUAGUUGCUCAUAUGAAUCAGGUUCACAAGAUAACACUAAAACCUGCACAUCUGUCAUACAAGUGCACAGUUUGUACAGCAACGUUUAAUUUGUACAAACUCUUUGAAAAUCAUGUUUAUGUAGUUCACAGUGGAUCUGUCAAAAGACACGCUGAUGAUAUAUCCAGUAACCAGCCUACUAAGAAGCAUGCUGGAGACAAGAACACCAAGAUGGGAACUCCAAAGAUUACUCCAAGAUCUAGGUCUAGGAAGCCAGCGAUGCCAGUCAAGAUGGGAGCAGAGUGUGGAAAAACAAGGGACGAUACAUCAGUUUCAACCCAAGGAAAUACCCCGAAAGAAGAUGGCCAUGCCAAGCAGAAGUGUGGAAUAGAGACACUGGGCUGUCGAAGGAGUCCCCGAAGAAGGAACAUACCUGUGGAGUGACGGAGGGAGGAGCUGAAAAUGCUGACUGUUUAUUGUGAUAGGAGUGAAUGUAGAUGACAGACACUGUUAAUGACCUUCAGACUGUUUUCUUUGUUCCCACCUGUAUAACUCCAAACUUCAUUAAAAGAACCAGUCAACUGACCAGAUUCAAAGGCACAUUGUAUUUAUUUAACCUGUCAGGAAUGGCAUAACCAGACCUACUUGCAGAGAUCAAGUAAGGAAGCACCAUCUGGUUCUCCAUCAACAUUUAGUAGUAGUAUUUGUGUAGCCAGAA